CGGGGGAACUUUUCAGCUUGUUGCAACUUCUUGGCCGUUCUCGUGAAACCAGCAGUCACAGAUUAUCUCAAGUCACGGUUACGCAGCAUUUCUGUGUAUUUUUAACAUCCUGAGUCAUUCGUGCGACUUUGUUCCUGCCUAAAUAGAAACGAGGAAGGGAGUCACCGUCCAGGGCUUACUGUUAAGAUGAACGCACCUCUUCUGAAAUCUGUGAAUUAUUCGUUAGGUGGAAUUUCUUUUUUUUUUUUUUUUCUUUUGUUACGGCUGUGACCGUAAUUGUGUGUGGAUUUGAGUGUCUAGGUGCUCCUCCGGGAUUGACGAUUUGGCGUUGGCCGGGGUGUAACAUAUGGGGGCUCGUCCAAUCACUGUGGGGUCCGAGGACCGCUUCAGCCGUCCGCCGUCGCUGGAGGGUCCGUGGGACCGCUCCAGCCUUCAUCCGCCUUCGCUGGGGGGUCCGAGGGACCGCCUCAGCCUUCGUCGUCUGCUGGAGGGUCAGGGGGACCGCUCCGGCCUCCAUCAGUUUCAUCUGCCUCCGCUGGAGGGUCCGUGGGACCGCUUCAGUCUUCAUUUGCCUUCGCUGGGGGGUCCGAGGGACCGCCUCAGCCUUCGUCGUCUGCUGGAGGGUCAGGGGGACCGCUCCAGCCUCCAUCAGUUUCAUCUGCCUCCGCUGGAGGGUCCGUGGGACCGCUCCAGCCUUCAUCCGCCUUCGCUGGAGUGUCCGAGGGACCGCUCCGGCCUUCAUCGGCUUCGUUUGUCUUCGCUGGAGGAUCCGAGGGCCCGCUCCGGUUUUCCGUUUCCACUGGAGGACCCGUCCAGUCAUCAGCGUCGCCUGCGGGACGGUGGCCGGUGCCGUAUGGGCUGGACAUGGAACAAACAUUUUUCGUUGGGGUUGUAUGUUUUAAAUGUUUGUUUUUUUUGGGGGUGUUUCCUUGAAUUAAACAUUUUGGGGUUAAUGUUAAUUCUUGGGUAAGGGGGUGUUACGGCUGUGACCGUAAUUGUGUGUGGAUUUGAGUGUCUAGGUGCUCCUCCGGGAUUGACGAUUUGGCGUUGGUAAUGUGUUGUUUUUGCGUGACUGUUAUGUGUUUCCUACUUUACUUUGAAAGUCUGUG
This is a long non-coding RNA of Astatotilapia calliptera (eastern happy), 1109 nucleotides long. The record is from Ensembl. NCBI's taxonomy places the organism in Eukaryota, Metazoa, Chordata, Actinopteri, Cichliformes, Cichlidae.